UAAUGCAGAUGGUCUUAAAAGUUAAGAUACGAGUUCUUAUAUUCCGGCAAGAAGGUGAUAAUGAUGCUCUAAAUACAUUUUAUUUUGCGAAAUUUGGUAAAAAUACAAAACCUUAGCGCCUUUGCGGCUUUCUCUCUAUCGAGUCUCUCUUCCUUCUUCUCGCACUCGCCGUCCUCUUUGAAUCACCAUCACCACCACCACCACUACCGUCCUUGUUCAUCUCUCAGCCAUCUCCACCUCGUCACUACCUUCCUCUCCUCCUCUCAAGAGGUGAAGCGGCUCCAUCGGAAGAUUGAGAGUUGCGACAGAGGACGCUUCUUCUCUCUCCACCGGCGACGUCGCCGAUGAUUACUACGCCGUUCUUGGAUUGCUCCCAGAUGCGACGCCAGAGGAGAUUAAGAAAGCGUAUUAUAACUGUAUGAAGUCUUGCCAUCCUGACUUGGGUGGGAAUGACCCUGAAACCACAAACUUCUGCAUGUUCAUUAACGAUGUCUACGAGGUAAAGCUUUGACUUUUGAAUAAGUUUGGUAAGGUGUUUGUGUUUCAGUGACCCUGUCCAGAGAAUGGUUUACGAUGAGAUCCAUGGGUAUGCAGUGACUGCUACCAAUCCUUUUCUUGAUGACUCUAGCCCGAAAGAUCAUGUUUUUGUUGAUGAGUUUGCUUGUAUAGGAUGCAAGAAUUGUGCCAAUGUGGCUCCGGAUAUAUUUAAGAUUGAGGAGGAUUUUGGUAGAGCAAGGGCGUGUAACCAGCGUGGCAAUCCUGAUUUGCUUCAGCAAGCAGUUGAAACAUGGUUAGCCUCUUGUGUUCUCUAACAUGCUGCCAGUGAUGAAUAACUGCCACGAACCAGCUGAGGACAACAUUGUACGUGUAUCAAUUGUCUUGAUCUAUUGCUAUUUUGUUGUGUAUGGACUCUGGUUUCUUAGUGAUUGUAUCUCAGUUGGUUUCUUUAUACAUUUUGGUCAGAAGUGUUUCAGAUUUCUAUUGAUGGACUAACUUGUUCGAUUAAUAUUUUAUUUGGGUUUUUGACUGUGAUGGUGAGACUUCUUGUGCACACGUGUUCUGUAGCCAGAGCCUCCUUAGCUUUCCUUCCAAUAUUGGCUUGGUGCAAGUUUAUGCAAACUAAUUCACAUGUUUGACUCACAUAAAGUCUCUGUCUGUCAAUGAUUAAAUCUAGAGUUUAGGCUAAUUGAACAUGUUAAGGAUUACUUUAAGAGAACCAAAGAGAAUGGGUUCAUCGAUGUUAGGAACAGAAAAGUAAAUUCUUUUCAUCUUUUUAAUUUUGUGAUUGUUACAGCCAAAGAACAUGGAGUAUGGCAUGGGUUAACUCCUUAUCCUUUUUGUGUUGUAAAAAAGUUUGAAUAUAGAGUAACCGAAGAGAGUCAAAAGGAUCGUCUCACAACCAAUACUCAUGAAGCAUGUCUCCCAAUUCAUGAAAACUGCAGGGUGUUAACAGCUCAUGGGUCAAAUAGGAUCGUGUAUGUAAUAGAUGAUCAUGUUGAUAUCAGUACCAGUAACCCAGACACUGGGAUAUCAGCAGAAGAGUUGUCUUUAAAUCGUCUUCUAAACAGUAGAGUUUGUUUUUGAUGAAAACUGAGUUGUCUUGUUUUACUAUUUUGUAUUCUGAUUUUGUAUCAGAAUGAUGUAUUGUUGGUGUAACAAAUUUGUGUAGUUUGCUUCUAGCAGAAUUCUCUUAUAAUUUUAUGUAAAAAGACUGAUAUUGUAGUCUA
Long non-coding RNA from Brassica napus (rape), 1727 nucleotides. RefSeq lists it as uncharacterized. NCBI's taxonomy places the organism in Eukaryota, Viridiplantae, Streptophyta, Magnoliopsida, Brassicales, Brassicaceae. The transcript has 4 exons. The record is from RefSeq and is a predicted model, not a curated record.